RNAcentral lists this transfer RNA (84 nucleotides) under Dichomitus squalens. RNAcentral's name for it is "tRNA-Asn". It matches the Rfam family "tRNA". From Rfam's summary of the family: Transfer RNA (tRNA) molecules are approximately 80 nucleotides in length. The record is from RNAcentral. Lineage: Eukaryota; Fungi; Basidiomycota; Agaricomycetes; Polyporales; Polyporaceae.
UGCCCCAUGGCUGAGUUGGUUACAGCGUCCGACUGUUAACCCAAGGCAAUCGGAAGGUCGUGAGUUCGAGCCUCACUGGGGCAG